This 119-nucleotide ribosomal RNA is filed under the name Trichobilharzia regenti. The record is from RNAcentral. Lineage: Eukaryota; Metazoa; Platyhelminthes; Trematoda; Strigeidida; Schistosomatidae.
GUCAGAGACUACACCACGUUGAAAACAUCGGUUCCCAUCCGACCACCGAAGUUAAGUAAAGUUGGGUCAAGUUAGUAUUUGCAUGAGUGACCGGCUGAGAGUACCGGGUGUUGCCGGCA